GAUGAACGCUGGCGGCGUGCCUAAUACAUGCAAGUCGAGCGAACGGACGAGAAGCUUGCUUCUCUGAUGUUAGCGGCGGACGGGUGAGUAACACGUGGAUAACCUACCUAUAAGACUGGGAUAACUUCGGGAAACCGGAGCUAAUACCGGAUAAUAUUUUGAACCGCAUGGUUCAAAAGUGAAAGACGGUCUUGCUGUCACUUAUAGAUGGAUCCGCGCUGCAUUAGCUAGUUGGUAAGGUAACGGCUUACGAAGGCAACGAUGCAUAGCCGACCUGAGAGGGUGAUAGGCCACACUGGAACUGAGACACGGUCCAGGCGCCUACGGGACGCAGCAGUAGGGAAUCUGCCGCAAUGGGCGAAAGCCUGACGGAGCAACGCCGAGCGAGUGAUGAAGGUCUUCGGAGCGUAAAACUCUGUUAUUAGGGAAGAACAGAUGUGUAAGUAACUGUGCACAUCUUGACGGUACCUAAUCAGAAAGCCACGGCUAACUACGUG
This 497-nucleotide ribosomal RNA is filed under the name uncultured bacterium. Its description in RNAcentral is "partial 16S ribosomal RNA". It matches the Rfam family "Bacterial small subunit ribosomal RNA", at positions 28 to 507 of the family's 1533-position model. The record is from RNAcentral.